AAGCCUGACCCCAGCGACGCCCGCGUGAGGGAAAGACGGUCUUCGGAUUGUAAACCUCUGUUGCAGGGGAAGAAGGAAGUGACGGUACCCUGCGAGGAAGCCCGGGCAAACUACGUGCCAGCAGCCGCGGUAACACGUAGGGGGCGAGCGUUGUCCGGAAUUACUGGGCGUAAAGGGCGCGUAGGCUGCGAGGCAAGUCGGGUGUAAAAGGCACGGGCUCAACCCGUGUAUGCACUCGAAACUGUCUUGCUGGAGGGGUAGAGAGGCAAGCGGAAUUCCCGGUGUAGCGGUGAAAUGCGUAGAUAUCGGGAAGAACACCAGUGGCGAAGGCGGCUUGCUGGCUACACCCUGACGCUGAGGCGCGAAAGCCAGGGGAGCGAACCGGAUUAGAUACCCGGGUAGUCCUGGCAGUAAACGAUGAAUGCUAGGUGUGGGUGGGUCAAACCAUCCGUGCCGCAGUUAACGCGAUAAGCAUUCCGCCUGGGGAGUACGGCCGCAAG
RNAcentral lists this ribosomal RNA (500 nucleotides) under uncultured Dethiosulfovibrio sp. RNAcentral describes it as "bacterial SSU rRNA". It matches the Rfam family "Bacterial small subunit ribosomal RNA", at positions 379 to 892 of the family's 1533-position model. Lineage: Bacteria; Thermotogati; Synergistota; Synergistia; Synergistales; Dethiosulfovibrionaceae. The record is from RNAcentral.